GUGAACAAUGGCGGCCACCACUUCGUUUUAUAUGUCUUUUAUUCGUGUUUCUAGGUCACAAAAUCAACUUUUAAGAUAUUUUCAGGCGAGAAUGUAGGUCGCACCUUGCUUAGACUCCACUCGAAGGGGAAGAGACUAUGUGUGUUGCCACCACAAGGACAACCCUGGGAGAACCUAUUUCAGAGCUGUUUUUUGGGGGGCUGUCAACAACCGAGGAAGACGGAUAAAGGAAAGCUGAUGGAACAGAAGGUCCAGAGGUUUAGUACGAAGGAAGUGAAGACGGAUAUCAAAAGGACGAAGAGUGAAAAGGCAGUUGGUCCAGAUGACACACCUGGGAUAUUUCCUGCAUCAUUUGGAUAAUGACUUUUUGAUGAUGUGGUAGGUACGGUUUCCCCUCAUCAUUCCAUGAAUUAACAGCUUCUGUGUUGCAUAGCUGAUCCUUUCUGUACUCCUUAAAAGUCAUUUGUCAUGGUCCGGGUGAGUGCCUGUAUUUUUCCAUAGAGUCGGUGGUUCCACCUCUGGGAGGAGCCACCGUAUUCCUGCAUGCUGUCCACACCAAGCCUCUCAGCAGCUGCUCAGCCACAGCUCUUGUUCACUCUACUCACCUGCCUGCUUCCCUGCCUCAACAUUUGGAUACCUUGGAUCACCACUGCUUGGAUUCACCUCCGCUCACCCUGACCACCUACCCCUCCACCCCAUUAUUCCACCUGCAGCAAUGACCCUGAAUCUACCCGUCCUGUCUGUCUACCCCUUUGCCCCCACGUCACUAAGUUUUCUAGUUUCACUGCUUCAUAGUAUUUAGUUGUGCUUCACGUUACUUCAUAGUUCUUGGUUAUAUUCUAGUUCACAGUACAUCAUUGACUUUUCAAGUGUUUCCCCGC
Molecule: long non-coding RNA, 881 nt
Organism: Oreochromis aureus
Lineage: Eukaryota; Metazoa; Chordata; Actinopteri; Cichliformes; Cichlidae
Source: Ensembl